UACGUAGGUGGCAAGCGUUGUCCGGAUUUACUGGGCGUAAAGAGCGCGCAGGCGGUCGACCAAGUCGCGUGUGAAAGCCCCCGGCUCAACUGGGGAGGGUCACGCGAUACUGAUCGACUCUAAGGCAGGAGAGGGUAGUGGAAUUCCCGGUGUAGUGGUGAAAUGCGUAGAUAUCGGGAGGAACACCAGUGGCGAAGGCGACUACCUGGCCUGUUCUUGACGCUGAGGCGCGAAAGCUAGGGGAGCAAACGGG
This 253-nucleotide ribosomal RNA is filed under the name uncultured bacterium. RNAcentral's name for it is "partial 16S ribosomal RNA". It matches the Rfam family "Bacterial small subunit ribosomal RNA", at positions 524 to 776 of the family's 1533-position model. The record is from RNAcentral.